This 442-nucleotide ribosomal RNA is filed under the name uncultured bacterium. RNAcentral's name for it is "partial 16S ribosomal RNA". It matches the Rfam family "Bacterial small subunit ribosomal RNA", at positions 338 to 795 of the family's 1533-position model. The record is from RNAcentral.
CCUACGGGCGGCUGCAGUGGGGAAUAUUGGGCAAUGGGCGCAAGCCUGACCCAGCAACGCCGCGUGAAGGAAGAAGGCUUUCGGGUUGUAAACUUCUUUUGACAGGGAAGAGCAGAAGACGGUACCUGUCGAAUAAGCCACGGCUAACUACGUGCCAGCAGCCGCGGUAAUACGUAGGUGGCAAGCGUUGUCCGGAUUUACUGGGGGUAAAGGGCGUGUAGCCGGGCUGACAAGUCAGAUGUGAAAUCCGGGGGCUCAACCCCCGAACUGCAUUUGAAACUGUUGGUCUUGAGUAUCGGAGAGGCAGGCGGAAUUCCUAGUGUAGCGGUGAAAUGCGUAGAUAUUAGGAGGAACACCAGUGGCGAAGGCGGCCUGCUGGACGACAACUGACGGUGAGGCGCGAAAGCGUGGGGAGCAAACAGGAUUAGAUACCCCUGUAGUC